Molecule: ribosomal RNA, 253 nt
Filed under: uncultured bacterium
Lineage: Bacteria
Description: partial 16S ribosomal RNA
Rfam family: Bacterial small subunit ribosomal RNA
Source: RNAcentral
UACGUAGGGCGCAGGCGUUAUCCGGAAUUAUUGGGCGUAAAGAGCUCGUAGGCGGUUUGUCGCGUCUGCCGUGAAAGUCCGGGGCUCAACUCCGGAUCUGCGGUGGGUACGGGCAGACUAGAGUGAUGUAGGGGAGACUGGAAUUCCUGGUGUAGCGGUGAAAUGCGCAGAUAUCAGGAGGAACACCGAUGGCGAAGGCAGGUCUCUGGGCAUUAACUGACGCUGAGGAGCGAAAGCAUGGGGAGCGAACAGG